RNAcentral lists this ribosomal RNA (468 nucleotides) under uncultured bacterium. Its description in RNAcentral is "partial 16S ribosomal RNA". It matches the Rfam family "Bacterial small subunit ribosomal RNA", at positions 28 to 507 of the family's 1533-position model. The record is from RNAcentral.
GACGAACGCUGGCGGCGUGCUUAACACAUGCAAGUCGAACGGAAAGGCCCUGCCUUUGUGGGGUGCUCGAGUGGCGAACGGGUGAGUAACACGUGAGUAACCUGCCCUUGACUUUGGGAUAACUUCAGGAAACUGGGGCUAAUACCGGAUAGGAGUUCCUGCUGCAUGGUGGGGGUUGGAAAGGUUCGGCGGUUGGGGAUGGACUCGCGGCUUAUCAGCUUGUUGGUGGGGUAGUGGCUUACCAAGGCUUUGACGGGUAGCCGGCCUGGGAGGGUGCCCGGCCACAUUGGGCCUGGGAUCCGGCCCAGACUCCAACGGGGGGCAGCAGUGGGGAAUAUUGCACAAUGGGCGGAAGCCUGAUGCAGCAACGCCGCGUGCGGGAUGACGGCCUUCGGGUUGUAAACCGCUUUCGCCUGUGACGAAGCGUGAGUGACGGUAAUGGGUGAAGAAGCACCGGCUAACUACGUG